Long non-coding RNA from Diceros bicornis minor, 4488 nucleotides. RefSeq lists it as uncharacterized. The transcript has 3 exons. The record is from RefSeq and is a predicted model, not a curated record. NCBI's taxonomy places the organism in Eukaryota, Metazoa, Chordata, Mammalia, Perissodactyla, Rhinocerotidae.
GGGCCGGCCCCAUCUUCUUUUUUUAAAAAUUUUUUUUCAAUUUUUUAUUUUUGUGAGGAAGAUCAGCCCUGUGCUAACAUCUGCCAAUCCUCUUUUUUUGCUGAGGAGGACUGGCCCUGGGCUAACAUCCACACCCAUCUUCCUCUACUUUAUAUGGGACGCCUCCACAGCAUGGCUUGCCAAGCGGUGUGUCAGCGCGCGCCCUGGAUCCGAACCGGCGAACCCUGGGCCGCCACAGUGGAGCGCGCACACUUAACCGCUUGCGCCACUGGGCCGGCCCCCCACCCCAUCUUCUAAACUACUUUACUUAGCAAUUAUAUUUAGAUUUAUUUUAGAAAUGAAAAGAAAACUUACGAACUGGGAUAAAGAACACUCCCAGAAAAAGAAAUUUGAAUAAGCAGAAAGUAUGUUUUUUUGUGAAACUUCCACAUAUGGUGGAAGAUUUUCUUCCACAUACCACGUUUUUGAUAAUCUCAUCUUUGCCAUCAUGUUUCUGGACUUUAAGUAGAUGGUAGCAGAAAUCCAGUACAGCAAAGCGCCGCUGUUGCCCAAGAAGUACAAUGAUCAUACAGCCAGCCCAGUGGAGCCCAUCGCCAAAACACUGCCUGGAAACAAGAAGCAGUAAGUAGAAUGGGUGAUCAAUAAACAAGUAUGACGUCUUUCAUGAGUCUGUCCCCAGAUGUCAAUGACCAAGCCAUCUGCUGGGAACGGGCCAGGAAGGGAAUGCUGAGCAGCAGGUGGUAUGCCCCUGCUUUUGGUAAACACCUCUUUUGGGUUCCUCUGGCACACUCUUUCCUAACUUUUUUUAGAUCAUGGACCCUCCAUGAAGAAUGACUUCAUGAAACUGUGGACCUCCAACCUAGAAAAAUGCCCACCUGACUUGCAUAUGUUUCCAUGGGUUCAGAGACUCCCAAAAGCCUAGCCCUGAGUCACCUCCUGGGCAUCAAGUAAGAACCUCCAUGAUUUACCAGUCUGGCAGCCCUCCCCACGAGUUUGCUACCAGCCUCUUGAGAACCAGAGUUUAUAACAAGACACCACAGCAGAGACAAAAGAAGGGCGCUUCCUCUGCAAACAGUGCAGGCGGCAGAAGCAAAGGGGCAGCAUCGCCCUUGUAUGCAGCAUCAACUCAUUCCCCACAGAACCCCAAAGUUCUGGGCAGUUGCUCUGAAUCUGUUGUUGGAUCACAAACUCCUUUAAAGAGGAUCUCCCCGAAGAUGAUGCCAAAGCUAAGAUCAAGAGGAGGAAGAGAAGACUUCGCACUCAUCAAGUGAGUGUCCCAUUGUCACCUAACGUAAACGUAGUGAAGCAGCCAGUCAGCCGCCACCUGCUCCACCAGGACACUACAGAAGGAGACUGACCCCUCCACACCCUGUCUUCCGUUCCUGAGGCCAGCAGCAAUGCUUGAGCCCUUCAUGCAGAAUAUAUGUAAUGGGAGCCACCUCUGGGCCAGUGCAAACAGGAGGACCUUCUCCCCUAGGCCUUCUAUUCUAGGUGAAGGAGGUGUAGGGGAAGGAGAAAGGGACAAGCUAAAACAGUGCAAAGGAUCAGAUGGUGACACUCGCUAUGUAUAACACAUAAGAGGAUGUGACAUUAGCAGAAUACUACACAGCUAUAAAAAUGAUGAGGAAUGUCACCACUUACCAAUGUGCAGUGAUCUCUAGGAUGUAUUUACUAUCAAGUGAAAAAAGCAAGGUAGAGAAGGGCGAUUGGCCUGCCUGCACCCACAGAGGGUAGGAGGGCAGCUGGAAGGUGACUGACCACAAAAAAUGGCCAGGCCAAUGGACGGAAGAAGGGAGACUUUGAUAAGGGAAGAGAGCUGCUGGGUGAGAAGGCUGGGGCAGAGCCACACAGAGGGAGGACGCUGCGGGUGGUAAAGGUGCCUGCCAGCCGGCAACACCACCCCAAAGGGGCUGAUCAGCCAUCUGUGCUGCUUCCAGGCACUCCUGUCAAUGAGCUCAAAUCUUUGCCCCCAAAUCAAACCAGAAAAAGAGUGAGAACAGCUAUAAAAACCAGCAUUAAAAACAAACAAACAAUCUAAAACUACUCUAAAACAAAAAGUUGAUUAAACACACACACACACAAGCUAAAAAAAACUACACUACCAAAAUUUUCAGGUUGGGUUUAGGGAGUCCUUCAAAAAGCUAGAAGAUAUAUCUCCUCAGUGCACAGAUUCAGAAUAAGAUCAACAUUUUUGGUUACUGAACCAAAUCCUGGAGCCAGCGGGGGCCACCACUGCAUGGCCUCACUGGACAGGCCCCCAGGGGCCCCACCCACACGCUUGGUGCCCUCAGCAACUGGGUGACGGUUACCCCACUUUUCUAAUGUUGUGACAAGUUGAAGGACACAUUUACCCUUAAUAUCUUCAUUUACAAUAGUGGGAGCCUAUGCAGAUGCCAAAACAUACUUUAUUACCACCUUCCUUGGAGAGCCCCAAAUAACCACCAAGAAGAGAUCCACCCCUGGGUUUGACGGGACUUGGGUGUAACCCUCCGAGAUGGAGUGAGAGGAGCCAUGUCAUCUUCUACCUUGGAGAGCCCCACCCUGGCAAACCUACUGGAAAACAUCACCCCUUAUUCCCAAAAGGACAAAAGCAACACCACAGAACUCUAAUCUGGGGCUGGGCCUGGGAGCAGACCUGCCCAACACAGAAGGCGUGGUUUCUCGCCACCUCCACAAAGUGCACUGACAGGAGGUGCCAGAGAAGGGAGAGGCGAAGGGGUGACGGAGCAGAGGGUGGGAGGAGCAGUGGCGACAGACAUCCCUGCAGGGCAGGGCCACAGCGUCCACAAAAGCCACGCAUGGUGCUCACAAGAGCCCUCAAGCGUGGGCCACGGAAUCUGCAGUGAAAACAAAAUUGCACUCAACUGAAUUGUAGGUUGCUCUUUUUAUUCAUCGUUUCAGAAAUAUCCAUCCACUCAUUAGCCAAAGUUUGCUUUAAGAUCAACUGACAACAAUUUAUAGUAUCUUUCCCAGGUGGCCAGCACUAUGCUCGUCACUCAAGGGAGCUAGGCACAGACUUGAGACACAGGCCUUGGUCUCAGAAGGGAGAAGACACCGGGGAUCCACAUUAGCUGGGCGCUGGAGACCUGGCACUCACCAGGCUCCCAAGACCUAGAAGAUCCCUCACUGAGGCACCAUCCCCAAGGGACUGCAGUGAGCCUUUCGGAGUGUUGGACGACUCGCAGAGGGAUUUUGCGUGAGAGGCAACAGGUAUCAUUUAAGGAUCUGGGUGGGCAAGGAUGGCAUCGGUUCCAGAUUUCUCUUUCCCUAAGUUUCUAAUAGAGCAUCACACUCCUUCCAGAAGCCAACAAACGUCCAGUCAUUGCCCUGACGGUGAGUACAGACUGUUCCUUUGAGCUGAUGAGAGAAGGUACUGUCCCUUCAGCUUCAAACCCCCGUGGUUCUGUAAUUAUUUUAUGUUUAUACAAGGCCUUCUUGACAUCUAUUUUGGUGAAGAAGAGCUUUUGACAGUUUAUCUUAUUUCCUAAAGGGGAAGCUAGACCAGAAGAGAAACUAGCCCUCUAAUGGUUCCCUGGCACUGACUAAAUCAAUUCCAUAAGGCAGUCCCCUCUUCAGUAAAACUUGAGGCUCCCCCACCCUGACCGAAGCAAGUGACUAAAAGGCAUCUUCAGGCUUAGAUACACGUAGAUGAGAGAGACUGCACUUUAUGUUGUAGGUUCAGGAAAAGUCACAUGAAGGAAAUAUUCCUACAUUAAAUAUCUAAAAUUCAUGAUGAGAGAUUACUAUUUAAAAGAAUUCUUCCUAACUUAUCUGGUUGUUAAAAAUUUACAUGUAUUUAGGUAAAAGAUUCAGUCCUCCCUAACGUGUUCCUGGAGGAGGCUGCCCUAAAUGUUGGCUGCUUACUGGUCCACAGUCAGCUGCCUGCUCCUUGGGAACCGCAGGCCUGCCCUGCGACUCUGGCAGGUUCUCCAGCUCCCGCCAUCACUCCUGCUGUGGGAGCGGGCAGCACGUGAGGGGCUGCUCACUCGGGGUCCAUGCUGAGUCUCGGGUGGUGGGGAUAUGAGGGCCUGGGAGUCCCCCCUCUUUGUCACCACAUGGAAAGGGUCUGCCUAGGAACGCAACAACAUAGGGAGAAGCCAAAAGACCCAGGUCCUGACAGGAGGCGAUCAGCUCCUGAAUGUGUCCAUAUCCGACCUUGGACUCCCUGUCAAAUGAGCCAACAUGUUUUCUUUUUUUGUGUACGCGGGUGUAAGGUGGCCAGUCCAGUGGCUCAGCCCCUGGAGGCCUGGCAGUCUGACUGCCAUGCCCUGAACUGUGUACUAGGCACCCUGGCCCUGGUCACUGCAAAGCAAGACCCUGGCUCUGCCACGACCCAGGGCCCUGAAGACAAGACACUGCUUUAAGAAGCAACAUAGCAAAGAUCUCCCCAAACAGGUCUAGAACGCAAUGCAAUUCCCAUCACAAUGCCAAUGUGCUUCUUCAACACAGUUGGCAGGCUGGUUCUCAUACUUGCAGAGCAGAGCAGAG